Molecule: non-coding RNA, 72 nt
Organism: Ictidomys tridecemlineatus (thirteen-lined ground squirrel)
Lineage: Eukaryota; Metazoa; Chordata; Mammalia; Rodentia; Sciuridae
Source: Rfam
AGGGUUGUGGCUCAGCGGUAGAGCACUUGCCUUUCACAUGUGAGACCCUGGGUUCAAUUCUCAGCACCACAU